AGAUUACUUAGCCUUAUGGGGGGGGGGGGGGGGCAGUUCUAUCAGAGGUGUGUAAAAUAUUGAUUAAAAAACUAGAAUAAAUCCAGUUGUUUUAUGUGCAAAAUGCAGUUUGGAAUCUUUUUUUAAGGUCAUCCCUAAAGCAGGCAUGGUACCUUCAGUGAACUACUCAGGAUCAUUAAUCUGGAUUCACUCCUCACGCAGUUUCUCACAGUGGUGAACCUCUGUCCAAAUCAACCUCUCUGAAGUGACCUUUUGACCUUUACCCAGUCAUGUUGCUAAAACUGAUAAAUGAAGUGGUUACAAUUACUUUGUGACAUUUUCAGUGUUUUGUACACUUAAUAUAAUAUAGGUUUCAAAUAUUUGCAAACUUCUUUCGUUAAAGCAAGAACGUGUUUGCAAAAAAUCAAACCAGUCCCACUAAACAAUAGACGCUAUGAGACGUCUAGUUUAUUUUAGACCUAAUUUAAACUGUCUAGAUUCUGUAUAUUUUUAGACAGAAUUCAGACAUUGCAAUUGAACCCAUUAUUCGAUAACUAUUUAUUCAAAAAGCAACUAUGAGUUGCAUAACUGAUCUCCAAGUACUUAACCAAAAUAAUUAUGAUAGCCGUUGAGCAAUAUACAGCGUAGUAUAGAUAUAGCCCAGAUUUAGACUUAGUCUAAACUUGGUCUGAAUUUAGACGUCGACAAAACUUUCAUUUUUAGACCUGUGGCAGUCUGAUUUUAGACCAGUCGUCUAGGCUACAUUUAGACGUCUAUUAGACCUCUUUUAGACCAAAAAAAUGCUCAGUUUUCAAAAGUUAGGCAAUUUGCUUCAACCACCUGCUGAAUGAAGCAAAGUUUCAUGUCAAAAUGAGAAGGCCAGUCUAUCUUUUCACCUCAUAUCUACACAGUUUGUCUUCCUAAAACGAGACUCUGCCGACUCCUUAUUGCCCCACUACAUUAAAUUAUAAGACGUGAAAUUGUUAAAGAUAUCUGACACCCUGACUAUGAGGCGAUAAUAUCCUCUUGCCAUUUGCUCACAGUGUGUUAUUUAAGUACCACAGUUCAAGCCCUGCAGGAGACUCUCCACUGAAGAGCUGAAACUCCACAUGCAGUAACACGAGCCCUCCAUGUAUACAAACACACACCAGCAGCUCUGUCAAAUUAUUUGGGGAGUGUGUGUGAGAGACCACUAUAGGAGCCACCAGUCUUGUGGUGGUGAUGAUGUGGAAACUCCACAGGGGGAAAAGACGAGGACGGCUUUGAUUGCAUUCUGCUCUUUUGUUUGGUACUUUCAGACAGUCCUUGAAGUCCCCACAGCGUCUUUACCGUGCACGAGGUCUCUCUGUGGGGUAAGAUUAGACUUGGUGGCUUCCUCUGGUUGCGGCGGUGCUCCCUGUCUCUCCUCUCGGGCUGAGUUAGUAUUGGAUUACAGGUUCACACGCUCGCUCGCAGACCGCCCGUCGCCCCGACCAAUUGCUCCAUUCAUUCCAGCGCCGGAGACGACCGCCGGCCUCUGAUUGGUUAUCAGCGCCGGUUAGGGAACUUUCCCACGGCCAGCGCGUGCUGACAGCCGGCCAGCCACUCCUCAUCACCACCGGGACACACACGGGGAGGUGGAGGGAAGAGAGGGGGGCAAGUCACGGACCGAAAGUCCAUUGGACCAUUGUCAAAGUUUCUCCAAAGAUCUUCUAUAUACGACAAGAUGAAUCACUCUGACACAUUUAUGGGAGGAAGAAAUCCCCCCCAAAGGGCCCAAGAAUAACAACAAACAUAACCUGUUAACAGUGUGAUGUGAAGACUACAUUCAUGUAUUCACAACUUAAAAAUAAGGUGGAUACUCCCCCAAUAAUACAAUAAGACCUUAAAAAUGGUUGAGCUGAGGAAGUUAUGCACCAAACUCCACUUUUAAAGGCCAGUCUGGUUAGGAAAGGUCCCAGUCUCACAGAUGAUUUGAGGCAGAAUUGCAAAAUAUGCAUAUGACACUUUUUGAUUAGUCAUAACUUACAUGUAGAUUUUGAAUAGGCUUUAUACUGUUACUAUAAUUGACAAAAAAAUGAAGCAUCAGGUGGAUUUUAUUUUUCAUUUCAAGCUCCGCCCACAUGAUAUUCUGAAUAUGUAAAAAGAAACUGCUGUUUCAUAGGUCAACAACUGACCGUGGGUCUAAUAGUUGAAACCAACAUGGAGAUGAGAAGUGCUUGACAUUAAAUGAUGCAAAACAAUGUAUUUUUUCAUGUCAAUAGAGCAACAAAAAAGACCACAAUGUCAUUUGAGAAAACUUUGGAGGAGUAAACCUCAAGACGGUUAUUGCUUCCUCUAAAAUGUAGCUUUUCUACAUUUGUGAAAAUUUUGAGAUUAGAACAAGUUAUCCAAUUUAUAUGGUAAUAAGUUAUAUUAUCUAUUUACAAGAAGUGUCAUUCAAAACUUACAGUUAGGCCCCGAGUCGGCCCAAGGCAUAAGUAAGCUAAUGCCUGCUUAGGGCCUCGUGGCCAAUAGGGGGCCCCCAAGAGCAAUUAAAAAAAUAUAUAUUUUUUUUUAUUUUUUGCAUGUAUCAGUGAUGCUUUCUGUAUGAUCAAAUAAUUAUUAUUGUAAAAAUAAAAUAAAGUAAAAACAUUUUAGUGCUGCUGCUGAUGUAGGCCUAUGAUUCUUAGUGCUGAUAUGUCGACGCUACCACUACUGUUAUGUGCCUUUUGCUGUGCAAUGUGCACUGAGCAUCCAAAGCGCAGGUAGAACAAUGAUGCAAGAAAGGACAUAUCCUUCGGGAGUAGAGAAAAGAAAAAAGAGGAAAGAGGAAGAAGAGGAAAAACACCAAGAUGAAGGUAUGUUUGUAUGCCAUGGAAUGUUAAUCAAAGAGCUGUGUGAAGGUGUGUGAAUGAUCAACAAUCAAUAUUAUUGGCAGAAAUAGAGAACCUCAAAAUUAAAUUUUGCUUAAGGCCCCAUUGAGGCGCUGGUUAGGCCAAAUCCAACAGUUCAGUCAUUUACGUCAACAGUUUCAGUAUCAACCACAGAGUAAGACGUCUUCUCUCUUCUACGAUCUUUGAUUCUGUCAAAG
Non-coding RNA from Xyrichtys novacula (pearly razorfish), 3031 nucleotides. The record is from the annotation of a GenBank genome assembly. Lineage: Eukaryota; Metazoa; Chordata; Actinopteri; Labriformes; Labridae.